GCCUGUAGUCCCAGCUACUCAAGAGGCUGAGGUGGGAGGAUCACUUGAGCCCAGGAGUUCUGGGUUGCAGUGCGCUAUGCCGAUCGGGUGUCUGCACUAAGUUCGGCAUCAAUAUGGUGACCUCCCGGGAGCGGGGGACCACCAGGUUCCCUAAGGAAGGGUGAACUGGCCCAGGUCAGAAACGGAGAGGGUCAAAACUCCCAUGCUGAUCAGUAGUGGGAUCUCGCCUGUGAAUAGCCACUGCACUCCAGCCUGGGCAACAGAGCGAGACCCCGUCUCU
RNAcentral lists this signal recognition particle RNA (280 nucleotides) under Aotus nancymaae (Ma's night monkey). Its description in RNAcentral is "Metazoan signal recognition particle RNA (ENSANAG00000007859.1)". It matches the Rfam family "Metazoan signal recognition particle RNA". Rfam says of the family: The signal recognition particle (SRP) is a universally conserved ribonucleoprotein. It is involved in the co-translational targeting of proteins to membranes. Lineage: Eukaryota; Metazoa; Chordata; Mammalia; Primates; Aotidae. The record is from RNAcentral.